This is a long non-coding RNA of Dipodomys spectabilis (banner-tailed kangaroo rat), 969 nucleotides long. RefSeq lists it as uncharacterized. The record is from RefSeq and is a predicted model, not a curated record. Lineage: Eukaryota; Metazoa; Chordata; Mammalia; Rodentia; Heteromyidae. The transcript is spliced from 3 exons.
UGAGACAUUGUUCUAGACUCUUUUGUGUCUUUACAUCAGAGGCGAUGCUCACAGGAGACCACGGGGGUACUCCCUGAGUCUCCCAGGGACAGAGCAGUCAUAAGCCGGCCUUGGUUUGGCCAUGUGGUCCCCGGCUGCUUGGUGGUGAGGGAGGCUGUGCCAUGUUGGGUUGGUGGAAUGAAGUGGUGUCGCUAAUCAGAUGUUGACGGCCAUCAGUCAGUGACAGAGAACAUGCUGGAGAUGAAUCUAAGAGACAGAAUCAGGGAUGGAAAGGUCUGCUGGAAUGAACGAUCACAAAUGAAGUGACUGAAAAGCCACAGGAAAUUUCUCCACGUAGUUCUGAAGUUAGGAGCCCAGCACUGGGGCACUGACAGCUCCAUGUUCUCUCAAAGGGGAGAAUCCUUCCAUGUCUCUUCGGGUUCCAGAUGUUCCAGAGGCAUUCAUUCCCCACAGCUGCUGGCAGAGAAACUGCGCUGUCGUGAGGCCUUCCCUUCCCGGUGUCUGUGAGAAACUGAGGAACAGAAAAGUCAAGUUACUUGCUCCAGUUCCCAGGGGAGAGCUAGGAUUGGAUCCUGCACUGUCUGAUUCAGAACUUGGGGGUUUUGCCACUGUACUGUUUCAUGUGUGCACACAGGAGAUAGAUACUAUUUCUUAACCACACACAGUCACCAUACUCUCCCCUCCUAAUAAGACACUAACACAUCAACAUGUCCGUUUCUGUCUGUGGUCAAAGGUGUUUGCAGCCUUCUCUCUGCUGAGCCCAUUGAACUGAGCUACGUCGGGUAUUGACUAAGAAUAAACAAAAGCUUGUACAGACUGACAAACAGUUGUUCACCGAUGAUACCACAGGCAAGACUCAGCAAUCAAGGGCAACUGUGCUCUGGUCAAAGGGCGGCUCUCAGCUCCUUCUGGAAAUUACAUACAGCCAAAGUACAGUGGGGGCUGAGAGAAUUUUCAGGUAUAUUUUUA